RNAcentral lists this ribosomal RNA (497 nucleotides) under uncultured bacterium. RNAcentral describes it as "partial 16S ribosomal RNA". It matches the Rfam family "Bacterial small subunit ribosomal RNA", at positions 28 to 507 of the family's 1533-position model. The record is from RNAcentral.
GACGAACGCUGGCGGCGUGCCUAAUACAUGCAAGUAGAACGCUGAAGGAAGGAGCUUGCUCUUUCUGGAUGAGUUGCGAACGGGUGAGUAACGCGUAGGUAACCUGCCUGGUAGCGGGGGAUAACUAUUGGAAACGAUAGCUAAUACCGCAUAAAAUUGAUUAUUGCAUGAUAGUCAAUUAAAAGGUGCAACUGCACCACUACCAGAUGGACCUGCGUUGUAUUAGCUAGUUGGUGGGGUAACGGCUCACCAAGGCGGCGAUACAUAGCCGACCUGAGAGGGUGAUCGGCCACACUGGGACUGAGACACGCCCCAGUCUCCUACGGGAGGCAGCAGUAGGGAAUCUUCGGCAAUGGACGGAAGUCUGACCGAGCAACGCCGCGUGAGUGAAGAAGGUUUUCGGAUCGUAAAGCUCUGUUGUCAGAGAAGAACGAGUGUGAGAGUGGAAAGUUCACACUGUGACGGUAUCUUACCAGAAAGGGACGGCUAACUACGUG